This 71-nucleotide transfer RNA is filed under the name Danio rerio (zebrafish). It matches the Rfam family "tRNA". Rfam says of the family: Transfer RNA (tRNA) molecules are approximately 80 nucleotides in length. Their secondary structure includes four short double-helical elements and three loops (D, anti-codon, and T loops). Further hydrogen bonds mediate the characteristic L-shaped molecular structure. tRNAs have two regions of fundamental functional importance: the anti-codon, which is responsible for specific mRNA codon recognition, and the 3' end, to which the tRNAs corresponding amino acid is attached (by aminoacyl-tRNA synthetases). tRNAs cope with the degeneracy of the genetic code in two manners: having more than one tRNA (with a specific anti-codon) for a particular amino acid; and 'wobble' base-pairing, i.e. permitting non-standard base-pairing at the 3rd anti-codon position. The record is from Rfam by way of RNAcentral. Lineage: Eukaryota; Metazoa; Chordata; Actinopteri; Cypriniformes; Danionidae.
GUAAUGGUUAUUCAGUGGUAGAAUUCUCGCCUGCCAUGCGGGAGACCUAGAGUUGAUUCCCUGCUACUACA